This 462-nucleotide ribosomal RNA is filed under the name uncultured bacterium. Its description in RNAcentral is "partial 16S ribosomal RNA". It matches the Rfam family "Bacterial small subunit ribosomal RNA", at positions 28 to 507 of the family's 1533-position model. The record is from RNAcentral.
GACGAACGCUGGCGGCGUGCUUAACACAUGCAAGUCGAGCGGAAAGGCCCUUCGGGGUACUCGAGCGGCGAACGGGUGAGUAACACGUUAGUAACCUGCCCCAGACUUUGGGAUAACCCUCGGAAACGGGGGCUAAUACCGGAUACGACACAGCUUCGCAUGGGGUCUGUGUGGAAAGUUUUUCGGUUUGGGAUGGGCUCGCGGCCUAUCAGCUUGUUGGUGGGGUGAUGGCCUACCAAGGCGACGACGGGUAGCCGGCCUGAGAGGGCGACCGGCGACACUGGGACUGAGACACGGCCCAGACUGCUACGGGAGGCAGCAGUGGGGAAUAUUGCACAAUGGGCGGAAGCCUGAUGCAGCGACGCCGCGUGAGGGAUGACGGCCUUCGGGUUGUAAACCUCUUUCAGCGGGGACGAAGCGUAAGUGACGGUACCUGCAGAAGAAGCGCCGGCCAACUACGUG